This is a long non-coding RNA of Peromyscus eremicus (cactus mouse), 1493 nucleotides long. RefSeq lists it as uncharacterized. The record is from RefSeq and is a predicted model, not a curated record. NCBI's taxonomy places the organism in Eukaryota, Metazoa, Chordata, Mammalia, Rodentia, Cricetidae. The transcript is spliced from 3 exons.
CAAGACUACCUCCCACCCUUCCUUCUGGGUCCCCAACCUGGUGGAAAAGCAAGGCUUGGCUGACGUAGCCCCAACUGCUGGGUCCUCCUCGUGCGGUGAGAAGAGCGGAAAGCAGGCCCAUGAGAAGAAGGGACCCACCGGCGGCCCCGGGACUGAUGAGGAACAUCAUCAGCAGGCAGGAAGCCACCCCAAGCAGGCAGGCGGCUUUGUUUCUCACCGGAAGUUGGGGGCUGAAGCCCACUCUAGACUCAGGCAAGACAGGUCCACGGCGGCAUAGGCCACCAAGUAGAAGACAGUGACCACGCCAGCCAGCGUGUUCAGCUUCCCAGCCAGCAACACCAGCUGGGAAAGGGCCAAGAGGCAGGGUCUUCUUGUGCGGCUCAGGCUGGCUUCAGUUUCAAUCCAUUCCCCUACCUUCACUUCCAAAUUCAGAUUACAAGUUUAAAACAAUCACUGGCCAAUAUCCUCAUUUUCAUUUACACCUCUUAUCUAGACCUAAGAUAGGUUCUCAGUCUGCUAGCUAGACUAGCCAGGGCGGCUGAAAUGAAGACUUACCUGCACCAGGCCCCAGGAGUACAGGACAGCACCCCAGGGGUUACCCCCUCCAGAGACUACCUUGGCCGGCGCCAAGAUGACUCCUGUAAAAAAAAAAAACAGAAUCACUAGACAAAUGAGUCCCGGCCUAGAGGGGGCAGAGCCAGACCCAGGAGGGCAAGCCCAGAGCAGCGCGGCAGACCCAGAGGGCACCACACCGAAGAGGUCAUCCUGGGCCAGGGCAUGCAGGAUUCGGGAAGCACCGAUGAGAGAGCUCAUGGAGGCCGAGAGUGCCGUGGCGUAGAUGCCGAUCAACACGAGUGGGGGCCACAAGCUGAUGCCACGGAAGAACCCGUAGUCUUCCUGAAGCAGGGUCCUAGCCAGGAGGAAAAGGCAGAGGAAGGGUCCAUCAGUGAGCCAUCAUAAGGGCCUCGUGAGAAAAGGUACGCGGACACUGUUUCCAGAGCUAUGUCCUAGAGGGGGCCUUGUCAUGCCAGCACUCAGGAGGCAGAGUCAGGAGGGUCUGGAGUUCAAGACCAGCCUCAGCUAUAUAUAGGGAGUUUGAGGCCAGCCUGGGCUAUGUGAGACCCUGUCUCAAAAGCAAAAGGAGCCAGGUCCUAGAGCCUGACUGGAUGACUCACACCUGUAAUCUCAGAACUUGGGAGGCUGAGGCUGGAGGAUUGCCAUGAGUGUAAGGCCACAGGAUAAGACCCUGUGUCAAAACAGAAAAGAAAAGAAAGAACCAGUUUAGGCCAGGCAUGACGGUGCACAUCUACCGGGGGGACGAGAGAAUCUCUGGUUCAAGGCCAGCCUGAGGUACGGAGCAAGAUCCUGCCUUAAAAACAUAACAAAGGGGGCUGGAGAGAUGGCUCAGAGAUAAAGAGCACUGGCUGUUCUCCCAGAGGACCUGAGUUCAACUCCCAGCACCCACGUGGUGGCUCACAACCAUCUGUAAUGAG